CCUACGGGGGGCAGCAGUGAGGAAUAUUGGUCAAUGGACGAGAGUCUGAACCAGCCAAGUAGCGUGAAGGAUGACUGCCCUAUGGGUUGUAAACUUCUUUUAUAUGGGAAUAAAGUGUUCCACGUGUGGGAUUUUGUAUGUACCAUAUGAAUAAGGAUCGGCUAACUCCGUGCCAGCAGCCGCGGUAAUACGGAGGAUCCGAGCGUUAUCCGGAUUUAUUGGGUUUAAAGGGAGCGUAGGUGGAUUGUUAAGUCAGUUGUGAAAGUUUGCGGCUCACCGUAAAAUUGCAGUUGAAACUGGCAGUCUUGAGUACAGGAGAGGUGGGCGGAAUUCGUGGUGUAGCGGUGAAAUGCUUAGAUAUCACGAAGAACUCCGAUUGCGAAGGCAGUUCACUGGACUGCAACUGACACUGAGGCUCGAAAGUGUGGGUAUCAAACAGGAUUAGAUACCCGUGUAGUC
This 459-nucleotide ribosomal RNA is filed under the name uncultured bacterium. Its description in RNAcentral is "partial 16S ribosomal RNA". It matches the Rfam family "Bacterial small subunit ribosomal RNA", at positions 338 to 795 of the family's 1533-position model. The record is from RNAcentral.